UGGGGAAUAUUGGACAAUGGGCGAAAGCCUGAUCCAGCAAUGCCGCGUGAGUGAUGAAGGCCUUAGGGUCGUAAAGCUCUUUUACCCGGGAUGAUAAUGACAGUACCGGGAGAAUAAGCUCCGGCUAACUCCGUGCCAGCAGCCGCGGUAAUACGGAGGGAGCUAGCGUUGUUCGGAAUUACUGGGCGUAAAGCGUACGUAGGCGGUUAUUCAAGUCAGAGGUGAAAGCCCGGGGCUCAACCCCGGAACUGCCUUUGAAACUAGAUAGCUAGAAUCUUGGAGAGGUCAGUGGAAUUCCGAGUGUAGAGGUGAAAUUCGUAGAUAUUCGGAAGAACACCAGUGGCGAAGGCGACUGACUGGACAAGUAUUGACGCUGAGGUACGAAAGCGUGGGAGCAAACAGGAUUAGAUACCCCAGUAGUCCCUGAGCGGGC
This 433-nucleotide ribosomal RNA is filed under the name uncultured bacterium. Its description in RNAcentral is "bacterial SSU rRNA". It matches the Rfam family "Bacterial small subunit ribosomal RNA", at positions 355 to 804 of the family's 1533-position model. The record is from RNAcentral.